AAAACAACAACAUUCGCUCGGUAGCCAAAAACUUCAUGUCCAACACUCCGGAAACUUCUUUCCUAUCGAAUAAACAACAUUUUUCUGCAUAUAAUCACACCUGGUUGAAAGGGGGUGCAUCGUUAGCAAGUGUAGCUCAAGUGCAAAAGGAAAAGUGUAGCGUAAAGUGUUGGUGUUAUUUUUAACGCAAGUUGUCUUGUAAUACGUUUUCGAUCAGCGUGUAUCUUCUGUACAAUCAAACCACAAAUGAGAAUGACAUCGUCGACAAAAAUAAUGCUGAUAGCUUGCGGUUCGUUCAGUCCGCCAACACCGAUGCACUUUCGAAUGUUUGAAAUUGCGCGCGAUCACAUCCAGCAAAUGGGCCAAGGACAGGUGGUCGGUGGGAUAGUAUCGCCGGUGCAUGACUCAUACUCGAAGAAAGGACUCGUGUCCGCUACACACCGUUGUGCAAUGAUUAAGAUUGGCUUGAAGACAUCGGACUGGAUUCAUCUGUCCGAUUGGGAAACGCAACAAGAAGAAUGGACACGAACUCGUCAAGUGUUGCAGUAUCAUCAGAACUACAUAAAUUCGUACUUAAAAGAUACUAAUGGGACCAUCAACAACCAGCACAUACCCGCCUGGAUACCGGAAGGCAUAAAACGAACCGGCGGUCAGGUGCAACUGAAGCUACUAUGUGGUGCCGAUUUGCUAGAAUCAUUUGCUACGCCGGGCUUGUGGAAGGAUGAGGAUCUGGAAGCGAUUCUGGGAUACCAUGGUGUGGUGGUAAUAUCCCGUGCCGGAUCUAACCCGGAACAGUUCAUCUUUAAUUCCGAUCUGCUAAGUCGGUAUCGACGCAACAUAACGAUCGUUACGAACUGGGUAACGAACGACGUUAGUUCAACGUUAAUUCGAAGGUUAUUGAGCCGCGGGCUUUCGGUGAAAUACUUGCUGGACGAUCAUGUAGCCGAUUACAUACGCAAGUUUGGCCUGUUCGGAUCGAACAAUGACACUAAGUACAUUCUAACACCGGGUAGUGCAACGGAGGCGAUGAGCAUUUCGCCCAUCUCCCCCAUCAACGAUCCCGAUCUGUACAUCGAGCAUCAAAACCAACGGAACAAGCUCGGAUCGUCCUGUGAGGCAAUGGAUGAAACGGAUUUCCCCAUUCCGCCCAUACCGGUCGGGGCACCAACCACACUGAACAAGGUGUUCUGUUGUGCAAAUGAUACUAAACCGACUACCGGCCGGGGAGCAACGUUUCUAGGAAGACCGGGCAGUGCGGUACAGAUAAUAACGACCGCGGCACCAUCACCGACACCGCCGCUUGUAACUUCCCCCGAUGGGACAACGAAACCCGCCCAGCAGCACAUCACGCUCGAUGAAAGCGAUUGCAGUGCGGGAAAGAAGGUGGGUGAGAGUGCGAUCGGUAAGGGAAGUCCCCGGCGGAUUGGUGUGCCCAUGGACCAACCCACACAACAAACCCCCAAACCAAGCACAAACGCUAAAAACAGCACCAACAAAGACAAUACCAGCACGUCAUCAUCGACCAAACGCACGACCACGACCACUAAUAGCACCUCCGAUACCAUAGCAACCGAGCGCAGUAGUACGAAAAGGGGUGCGAUGGCGCUGACUAAAGCAAGCACCACGUCCACCACAGCCGCUACUAGCAAGCUAGGAGCUACUUUAAGCACAAACACAGCCCACACGGUGGGCCCGUCGACGAAUGCUUCGACCGGUCGGAUCAGCCCGUCGCGUAGUUACGACGAUAUGAUCAAAUUUGUUUUCACAGAGCACGGCAUUAAGGUCAUAAGCGAUCGCGAGUACGUAGUGUAGAGAGCAUUUGGGGUUUACAUUUAUGCUAGCAAGUAUAUGCUCGGUUUAGACGCACAUACACAUACGCGUCAUAAAAAAGAUGAAAAUAGCUGCUUGUCCAGUGUAAAGAUGGUCAAUUUGCGUAACGAUGAUACCAUUUUCGUACGAAAUCUCGCACCAAAUGCAAAUGCGACAGAGCCGGAGAGAAUAAUUUUCGUAACAAAUGAAUGUUAUAUUAUGUGGUUGUUUCGUGCCUAGUUCCUUACUUUUGUAAUAUUGUAAUAGCUUGUUAAUAUUUAUUUACUGUUACAUCACACGUUGCGUACCUUAGAAAACAAAAACAAAAAAGCAGAAGAUUUCAAAACAAUUAAAGCAAAGAGAUCAACAAAUAUUCUACAAGCUUUUGACUCGUUUACUCCAAGAGUCGCGUGAAGUUUUACUCAUCCGUAUUUAGGAACACUUUUGUUUUCACACUUUUAAACUAUAAUGCAUAAAGGCUUUGUGACGCAGAUCGCGGGUACACAGUGAACAUAGGCAAACGAUUUUAUAGCUCAAAACUGCGUAGCAAACGGGUAUAAUGGCACCAGCCGCGUAUUUGCCGCCCGUUAGAUUGAUUUCUUCUUCUCCGGUGUUCCGGAGCUCGAACAACGGUAGACAAAUAGGUGAAUGUGAUUAGAUGGAAGACUUAAUAAAACUAAGUAGUUACAGGUAA
Anopheles funestus (African malaria mosquito) is the source of this 2503-nucleotide RNA transcript. It is a transcript of the gene named nicotinamide/nicotinic acid mononucleotide adenylyltransferase 1, with no coding region annotated. The transcript has 6 exons. NCBI's taxonomy places the organism in Eukaryota, Metazoa, Arthropoda, Insecta, Diptera, Culicidae. The record is from RefSeq and is a predicted model, not a curated record.